Molecule: ribosomal RNA, 501 nt
Filed under: uncultured bacterium
Lineage: Bacteria
Description: partial 16S ribosomal RNA
Rfam family: Bacterial small subunit ribosomal RNA
Source: RNAcentral
AUUGAACGCUGGCGGCAGGCUUAACACAUGCAAGUCGAGCGGAGAUGAGGUGCUUGCACCUUAUCUUAGCGGCGGACGGGUGAGUAAUGCUUAGGAAUCUGCCUAUUAGUGGGGGACAACAUUCCGAAAGGAAUGCUAAUACCGCAUACGUCCUACGGGAGAAAGCAGGGGAUCUUCGGACCUCGCGCUAAUAGAUGAGCCUAAGUCGGAUUAGCUAGUGGGUGGGGUAAAGGCCUACCCAGGCGACGAUCUGUAGCGGGUCUGAGAGGAUGAUCCGCCACACUGGGACUGAGACACGGCCCAGACUCCUACGGGAGGCAGCAGUGGGGAAUAUUGGACAAUGGGGGGAACCCUGAUCCAGCCAUGCCGCGUGUGUGAAGAAGGCCUUAUGGUUGUAAAGCACUUUAAGCGAGGAGGAGGCUACUGAGACUAAUACUCUUGGAUAGUGGACGUUACUCGCAGAAUAAGCACCGGCUAACUCUGUGCCAGCAGCCGCCGUAA